Non-coding RNA from Chaetomium strumarium, 82 nucleotides. Lineage: Eukaryota; Fungi; Ascomycota; Sordariomycetes; Sordariales; Chaetomiaceae. The record is from the annotation of a RefSeq genome assembly.
UCUUCCGUAGUAUAGUGGUCAGUAUGUGAGCUUGUCAUCGCCGGCGACGCUCGAGACCCGGGUUCAAUUCCCGGCGGGAGAG